AUGCGCUUGUCUUUCAAUUUAUGUUGGGUGGUCGGUUACUUCGUUGAAUGUAACCAUAGGCCAGCCUCUGAUUUAUGUGCUCAUCGAAUUGUUCUGCCUGAUGCUUCGGUGAGGCGUUCGACGAUUACCGAACUAAGAGAUCACGGCUUCCUUUCCUUUUUGAAGUGGUUAUCUACCUCAAGGAGAUCUGAGGUGCUUUUGUGGUGA
Molecule: non-coding RNA, 207 nt
Organism: Vicia faba (fava bean)
Lineage: Eukaryota; Viridiplantae; Streptophyta; Magnoliopsida; Fabales; Fabaceae
Source: the annotation of a GenBank genome assembly